RNAcentral lists this ribosomal RNA (1490 nucleotides) under uncultured organism. RNAcentral describes it as "SSU rRNA". It matches the Rfam family "Bacterial small subunit ribosomal RNA". The record is from RNAcentral.
AACGCUGGCGGCGUGCCUAAUACAUGCAAGUCGAACGAGUUCUGAUUAUUGAAAGGUGCUUGCAUCUUGAUUUAAUUUUGAACGAGUGGCGGACGGGUGAGUAACACGUGGGUAACCUGCCCUUAAGUGGGGGGUAACAUUUGGAAACAGAUGCUAAUACCGCAUAAAUCCAAGAACCGCAUGGUUCUUGGCUGAAAGAUGGCGUAAGCUAUCGCUUUUGGAUGGACCCGCGGCGUAUUAGCUAGUUGGUGAGGUAACGGCUCACCAAGGCAAUGAUACGUAGCCGAACUGAGAGGUUGAUCGGCCACAUUGGGACUGAGACACGGCCCAAACUCCUACGGGAGGCAGCAGUAGGGAAUCUUCCACAAUGGACGCAAGUCUGAUGGAGCAACGCCGCGUGAGUGAAGAAGGCUUUCGGGUCGUAAAACUCUGUUGUUGGAGAAGAAUGGUCGGCAGAGUAACUGUUGUCGGCGUGACGGUAUCCAACCAGAAAGCCACGGCUAACUACGUGCCAGCAGCCGCGGUAAUACGUAGGUGGCAAGCGUUAUCCGGAUUUAUUGGGCGUAAAGCGAGCGCAGGCGGUUUUUUAAGUCUGAUGUGAAAGCCCUCGGCUUAACCGAGGAAGUGCAUCGGAAACUGGGGAACUUGAGUGCAGAAGAGGACAGUGGAACUCCAUGUGUAGCGGUGAAAUGCGUAGAUAUAUGGAAGAACACCAGUGGCGAAGGCGGCUGUCUGGUCUGUAACUGACGCUGAGGCUCGAAAGCAUGGGUAGCGAACAGGAUUAGAUACCCUGGUAGUCCAUGCCGUAAACGAUGAAUGCUAGGUGUUGGAGGGUUUCCGCCCUUCAGUGCCGCAGCUAACGCAUUAAGCAUUCCGCCUGGGGAGUACGACCGCAAGGUUGAAACUCAAAGGAAUUGACGGGGGCCCGCACAAGCGGUGGAGCAUGUGGUUUAAUUCGAAGCAACGCGAAGAACCUUACCAGGUCUUGACAUCUUUUGAUCACCUGAGAGAUCAGGUUUCCCCUUCGGGGGCAAAAUGACAGGUGGUGCAUGGUUGUCGUCAGCUCGUGUCGUGAGAUGUUGGGUUAAGUCCCGCAACGAGCGCAACCCUUAUGACUAGUUGCCAGCAUUUAGUUGGGCACUCUAGUAAGACUGCCGGUGACAAACCGGAGGAAGGUGGGGAUGACGUCAAAUCAUCAUGCCCCUUAUGACCUGGGCUACACACGUGCUACAAUGGAUGGUACAACGAGUUGCGAGACCGCGAGGUCAAGCUAAUCUCUUAAAGCCAUUCUCAGUUCGGACUGUAGGCUGCAACUCGCCUACACGAAGUCGGAAUCGCUAGUAAUCGCGGAUCAGCACGCCGCGGUGAAUACGUUCCCGGGCCUUGUACACACCGCCCGUCACACCAUGAGAGUUUGUAACACCCGAAGCCGGUGGCGUAACCCUUUUAGGGAGCGAGCCGUCUAAGGUGGGACAAAUGAUUAGGGUGAA